UACGAAGGAUUCGAGCGUUAUCCGGAUUUAUUGGGCUUAAAGGGUGCGUAGGUGGUCUAAUAAGUCAGUUGUGAAAGCCCGGAGCUCAACUCCGGAACUGCCAUUGAUACUGUUAGUCUUGAGUACAGUUGAGGUGGGCGGAAUGUGCCAUGUAGCGGUGAAAUGCUUAGAUAUGACGCAGAACACCGAUUGCGAAGGCAGCUCACUGGGACGUUACUGACGCUGAGACGCGAAAGCGUGGGGAGCAAACAGG
Molecule: ribosomal RNA, 253 nt
Filed under: uncultured bacterium
Lineage: Bacteria
Description: partial 16S ribosomal RNA
Rfam family: Bacterial small subunit ribosomal RNA
Source: RNAcentral